This 446-nucleotide ribosomal RNA is filed under the name uncultured bacterium. RNAcentral describes it as "bacterial SSU rRNA". It matches the Rfam family "Bacterial small subunit ribosomal RNA", at positions 329 to 792 of the family's 1533-position model. The record is from RNAcentral.
UACCAGACUCCUACGGGAGGCAGCAGUGGGGAAUAUUGCACAAUGGGGGAAACCCUGAUGCAGCAACGCCGCGUGAGUGAAGAAGUAUUUCGGUAUGUAGAGCUCUAUCAGCAGGGAAGAAAAUGACGGUACCUGACUAAGAAGCCCCGGCUAACUACGUGCCAGCAGCCGCGGUAAUACGUAGGGGGCAAGCGUUAUCCGGAUUUACUGGGUGUAAAGGGAGCGUAGGCGGUUCUGCAAGCCAGAUGUGAAAGCCCGGGGCUCAACCCCGGGACUGCAUUUGGAACUGUAAGGCUAGAGUGUCGGAGAGGCAGGCGGAAUUCCUAGUGUAGCGGUGAAAUGCGUAGAUAUUAGGAGGAACACCAGUGGCGAAGGCGGCCUGCUGGACGAUGACUGACGUUGAGGCUCGAAAGCGUGGGGAGCAAACAGGAUUAGAUACCCCAGUA